This 77-nucleotide microRNA precursor is filed under the name Schistosoma margrebowiei. RNAcentral describes it as "mir-3492 microRNA precursor family". It matches the Rfam family "mir-3492 microRNA precursor family". Lineage: Eukaryota; Metazoa; Platyhelminthes; Trematoda; Strigeidida; Schistosomatidae. The record is from Rfam by way of RNAcentral.
AGCUUUCUGAAUCCAUGCUGAGAUUUUGUCACACACCAGAACACAAGACUGAUGAGACUUCCAAGAUAAGUGACACG